CCGAGAAUUUUUCACAAUGGGCGAAAGCCUGAUGGAGCGACGCCGCGUGGGGGAUGAAUGGCAUCGGCCCGUAAACCCCUGUCAUUCGCGAGCAAUGCCUUCCCGAUAAUACCGGGACGGUUGAUCGUAGCGAAAGAGGAAGGGACGGCUAACUCUGUGCCAGCAGCCGCGGUAAUACAGAGGUCCCAAGCGUUGUUCGGAUUCACUGGGCGUAAAGGGUGCGUAGGUGGUGAGGUAAGUUCGAUGUGAAAUCCCCGGGCUCAACCCGGAAAAGGCAUUGAAUACUAUCUUGCUCGAGGUUUGGAGGGGGGACUGGAAUUCUCGGUGUAGCAGUGAAAUGCGUAGAUAUCGAGAGGAACACCGGUGGCGAAGGCGAGUCCCUGGACAACACCUGACACUGAGGCACGAAAGCUAGGGGAGCAAACAG
Molecule: ribosomal RNA, 427 nt
Filed under: uncultured bacterium
Lineage: Bacteria
Description: bacterial SSU rRNA
Rfam family: Bacterial small subunit ribosomal RNA
Source: RNAcentral